Molecule: long non-coding RNA, 1426 nt
Organism: Gallus gallus (chicken)
Lineage: Eukaryota; Metazoa; Chordata; Aves; Galliformes; Phasianidae
Source: Ensembl
CUUCUGUCUCCUCUUUGAUAGUCCAGGUAAAUCAAGUAUUUCAAAUAAAAUUUAAAAAGCAACAAAAAUCCUCAGACAGACUUUAAUAAAGACUUUAAUGAGCAGAGUUCAACAAGAUGUUUGUUACUCCAGCAAAGAUUUAUGCCGGCAAAAGCCAACUUAGGUCUUCAACAUAAACCAAAUUCCCCUAUAUUUAGCUGAGGUUAGAGGAUUCAGUAUCAGGUUCACAUGAUUCUAAUAGCUGAGAGGAUGGAAUCUAUAACAUAUAUUUCUCUCCCUAUAAUUCUUGUUGACUUGACAUAGUACCACUCCCUCCUAACGUUCUUUUAUUUCCCCAAAGCUUGAAAUUCUAGUGAGAGCUGUAACAGCAUCUCAAUCCAACAGCUUUCUGAUUGCUCCCUCUUCAUAUGAUUUCCCUGAGUUCUGUGCUUCCUUGACAGCUCUUUCUCAUUACAGAAAGCUCUUCCUACCUCAUUAUUCAAUAUCCUAUAUUGUCCCUAAAUGCAGAGAUCUCCCCCUCCCCCACUUCAGGUCUCAGUAGGAGCCCAUGACUCAUUUUUAUACUCUCUCCCCAGGAGCCCUCAGUUUCCCAGGUGCAUUUCAUAAGAGAGAGUGCAAAUGGUUGCUUAGGCAAAAACAUCUUUCAGGUGAAUGCAUAUAAAGGCAGCAGACGGGCAGCACUGAGGGACUGGAUUUAUUUGCUUACUUUUCUUAUUGUUUGCUUAUUCCCAUAUCUAAUUCCCUUCACAGGCUGUAUAGACCAACUCCUUCAAUUCCUCUUGUUGGUUUUUUUUUUUUCCACAGUUGGCUUCUGCUUUCCUAUAUCCUCUUCCUUCUUAAUUUUAGCAUGCUUAGGAGGAGCAAAUCACCCAAAGAGGAUCCUAGGGGGAAAGUCCUGAUGCAGCUAUGAAGUACAUAAAGAGGAGCUUGUUUGCUCAGCUUAUUGAGGGUAGAAACUUUGCCAAGCUAUAAGGAACAAAAGUGGAGUUGCUAUGUUGUUCUUAAGGUAUUUUCCUUAUAGCAGCCCUGCUUCACAAGGUGGGAAUCAACAGCUCUAUUGUCUCACUUGAAUUCUCCUUUUACUUGCUCUGUGGUAUCAAGAUUGUUCUGCAUUCUCUGUGGCUCCUCUGAUGCAAUUCCUAUUGUAUCAUAAAGGGAUUUAUGUUCAUUGGUGCUUAAUUUCCUGUCAUCUAUUUCUGUGGAUCUUCUUAAAAACACUCUACUCAGAUCAAUACAAAAUGAUCUUGUUUCCCUAGCAAAUUUCCUUGCUGUUAGAAAAGAGUGAUGGAGUUCCUACAUGAAUAAAAAGCACUCGAGCAAUUUAUUUUUCCAAAUCGUCAAAUCAAUUAAUUCCUUCGUGCUAAAUUAUUACAGAAGUUGAACUCAUAGGGCUACAUGGAGACUUCUACUACAAGCUGAGAAGACA